GCUUGUCUCAAAGAUUAAGCCAUGCAUGUCUUAGUGUAAAUAACUCUUAUGAAACUGCGAAUGGCUCAUUAAAUCAGUUAUCAAAUACGUGAUGGUCGCCUACUACAUGGAUAACCGUAGUAAUUCUAGAGCUAAUACAUGCGUCAAAACCCGACUCCUGGGAGGGUUGUAUUUAUUAGAUGGAAACCAAUGCGGGGCAACCCGGUAUAUGGUGAUUCAUAAUAACUUUCGGAUCGAUCUUCGGAUCGAUGCAUCAUUCAAGUUUCUGCCCUAUCAGCUUUGGAUGGUAGGGUAUUGGCCUACCAUGGCUUUAACGGGUAACGGAGAAUUAGGGUUCGAUUCCGGAGAGGGAGCCUGAGAAAUGGCUACCACAUCCAAGGAAGGCAGCAGG
RNAcentral lists this ribosomal RNA (391 nucleotides) under Uroglenopsis americana. Its description in RNAcentral is "partial small subunit ribosomal RNA". It matches the Rfam family "Eukaryotic small subunit ribosomal RNA", at positions 30 to 432 of the family's 1831-position model. Lineage: Eukaryota; Chrysophyceae; Chromulinales; Chromulinaceae. The record is from RNAcentral.